UGGCAUGUAUAAUCUCUACUUUCAUCCUUGAUAUCCAGCUGCACAUGUUGAGCCUGUAUUAGGUAUUCAUUAGCAUAACUAGAUCAAUCUUCACUAUCAGAGCUGGCCUCAUCAGAACUAUAAUCGCUACUAUCAUCAUCAAUAUCAAGCUGCACAUGUCGAACUUGUAUAGGUUCGGGCAUUCUUGAAAGUCCCGGAGGAGGUACUGGUCGUGCAGGUGCCUCCUCAACCUUUUGAGGUGGACGAGAAUCCACUGGAGGAAGAGCAAUUGGAUCACCAGGCUUCCACCCAGGUGGAGGAAGAGGGAGAUCAGUGGGCAACUCAACAGGCAUACCAGGUUUCCAACCAGAUGGCACUACAAUAUUUGGAGGGACGAGGCCCUGAAUUGAUGAUAGAUUGGCAAGUGGAUUACUUUCUGCCGGAGGCUCAAUGAGUGGCUCCAAAAUAUUCUCCUUGCCUUCAUCUGUUUUAGGUAAACCAACAUCAAGAUCAGCAAAAAUAUAUAACUGUGAUGCACGCAAUUGCUCAUCCUGUGGAGCCGGUGGGAGAGCUCCCCGGAGAGGAGCCUGUCCACCACCAAAUUCAGGUGGUGCAAAAGUAGUGUAACUUAUCCUAUGAGCAUAUGACAAAAUGUCAGAUAAUUUCAACUGGGUCGCCACAGAUGUUAAUGAAGAUUCUUCAGUAUCGUUUUCCAACUUGGCCCGUUUGGGGCGACGAUAGUCAGCAUAGUCAUCAACAAGAUUGUCAAGAACAUGCUCAGCUCCUUUGAGUUUGUUGGCGAAGGCAAGAAUUGCAGAAUCAUUUGACCUAAUUUCACGGGUGACUUUUUGCUUCUCAUCUUGAAGAUCAAGUAUUUCUUGUAGUUCAGCAACUGCUUCAAACAGCUGUGUCUGAAGAGAAGUAAACGCUGAGAGGAUUUCUUUUGAGGACGAUGGGCUGGAAUCUUGUGGAACUGGUGCUGUAGAAGGCAGAAAUGAAGGGAAAGAGCCACGAAAAGCACUAAGCCAAUGGGACCGGUUAGGUGAGACUUCAAAGAGCCUUGACGCAAGAGACGCCAUUUGAAUGAGAAGAGACUGAGCUCUAGAGAGAGGUGGGAGAAGAGGAAGGAGCGUUGAUGAGGUGGUAGUGGUAGUUAAUAUAUUUGCCUGUUGAUUGGGUUGCGACGCUUGCGAGGAGAACUUAGUAGGAGGAGUUGUGUUUUGUAGAGAAGGUGAACUGGGAGUUGGCAGGCCUAGCCGUGCCGG
RNAcentral lists this unclassified non-coding RNA (1244 nucleotides) under Hevea brasiliensis (rubber tree). Lineage: Eukaryota; Viridiplantae; Streptophyta; Magnoliopsida; Malpighiales; Euphorbiaceae. The record is from RNAcentral.